UUUAUAUAGAUAAAGUGCAAUUGCAUGCGAUAAGCUAAACAUGGAUUUUUUGUAUCGAUCACUAUCCUUCAUUCAUUGUAUAUACUCGAAUUGAAAAGAUACAUCACUGACAACUGUGAACAAUAAAAAUGGCGUAUCGCGGUGUGAAGGGAUCCGAUCCAUUUGUGUCAAAAACUUCGCGAAAUGAACGUUUUGCGCAAAUGUCAAAGCAAGAACAAAUUAUUCAACAAAAAAAGUUGGAAAUUCAAGCGAAAAUGCAAGAACAGAAGGCGAAAGAAGCAGUAGAGUGCAUGAAAAAGUCGAAUUCGUCUACGUCGACCACAAUUAGUAAAGGCAAUGGUGUAAAGGAAGAAGAUGAAAAGUCUAUCGCAUCCCUUUCAAUGAAUGUGUUUGCCAAUGACGGUAGUUUUCUCGAUCAAUUCAAGAAAAUAGCAAAUAAAGCAACUGGCAAACAAGAAACUCAGCAAGAUAAAACUGAGGAUAAAAGAAAAGAUGAGAAAAAUUAUGAAGCCGCUAGAGAAAGAGACAAAGAAAGGAAGCGUGAUAAUGAAAAAAAUAGAGAUUGGGACAGUAGGAGAGAUCGCAGGAGAAAUGAUUCGCGUUGGGGAAGGAGCUUAGAUAGAAAGCAUAGUUCCUCCUCGAGUCCAUCGCCUACGAGGCGGAGAUCGUCGCCUAGUCCCGAGACACGGCGUAGCUACAAUCAUGCGCAGAAUGGACAACGUGCGCAAUUUAAUCACGUUCCAAUUCAAAGUAAUAAUCAUGCCUCUUCCAUCCCAUCUCUCAUGUCUCAACCGGUGCAAAUGCAAAUGACAAAUAUACCGCCCCCGAAUAUAAGAAACUUGGCGCCGAGCGCUUCGUCCGCGAAUCUGCAAAGGAUACCAAUGUCGAAGAAUUUUAAUAACACGUACACAAAUAUAAAUGAUCAUUCUAGCAAUGUUAGGAUGCAAAUUGCACCGCCGCAUAUUAUACGUCCCGCUCAUCCCAUCCAAAGCAUUCCACCUAAUACAAACGUUCCGCCGCCAAACAUGCAAUUGUCCCAAUCUAUGCCAAUGUCUAACUUACCAUCGUCAUCGAACGGACAACAGCACAUUAUACAAAAUCCGCAACAAUGCAGCAUACCACCCCCGUCAUGUAGCGCUAACUUACAACAUCCACCGAAUAUUCCCCCACCCAAUAUACCACCGCCAAAUAUCUUACCGCCAAUGUCGCAAAUGCCACCGACCUUGAUACCUAUCACGGGCUCGCAAGCCAUCGUAGUGACGGUACCAAGCGUAGCCAAUGUUCCACCCCCAAAUGUAAUAACGUCCAUGAUAAUGUCAGCGCCUCCACCGGUGCAUACCGUUCCAUCGACGAUUAAUUCGGUUCCGCCACCAAACCUGAAUAUUCCACCGCCGAAUGUUCCACCUCCCACUGUCAUUCCUAAUACAGCACCGUCACGCGGCCUUGUGUCCACUGGCUAUGCUCUUUCCAAUCAGGUACCUCUUUCGGUGGGCCCUCCUAAUAUUCAAAUACCACCGCCUGUCAGACCGCCGACUAAUCUACAGAAUUCUGAACAACAAGUGUGUCUAGUAGAGGCUGAGCAGCUGGCACGCAUCGUGGCUGACUGUGGAGAUGAAAUUGAACAAGAAGUGCGAGAGAAGAAUGCUCAAGAUCCUAAAUUAUGGUUUCUGCACCAAAAGCAAAGUGCAGCGUAUCUGCAGUACAGGGGAUUGGUUUCAAAAUUUCGUGCGGAGAAGCCAAAGGAUAAGGAUAAGGAUAAGGAUAAGAAGAAUAAUGGUGCGGAACUUUAUUGCCCCGAAGAAGCUCUUAGUGACAAUGAUGAGGCGGAUAAAUUACAGAAAUCUCAUACAAUUCCACAUGCGGAUCAACUAAAGGACGAUAAUAGGGAAGAACGGAAAAGAAAAAGACGUAGUCGUUGGGGCGAUCCGGAUACCAAGGUUUUGGUUACAGAAACAAGUGUGUCUUCUGGUAAUAGGCCAAAUGCUGUAUUUCCUCAACCUGGUAUUGCUAUACCGGGACAAAUUGGGCAACCCGCUGUUAUAUUACCCUCUCCGUCAAAAGGACAAGAUAUCAAAUCAAAGAAUCCAAUGCUUACUAAGAUUUCACGAAACGAUCCUGCGCUUAUUCAUUAUGCGAGACAGACAUUUGGUACGCUCGAUCUUAAUGAAGAACAAUGGAAGAAGGCAGAAGAUCAUUACAAGAUAAAUCUCUUGUACCAAAAUCUUUUGAGAAAAAGGGAAGAAGUGAAACGUUUGGAAGCACAAGGAAAACAUAAAUACGAAUAUGAUAGCGAUGAAGAGACGGAAGGUGGGACUUGGGAACACAAAUUGAGAUCUGCUGAAAUGGAGGCGACGCAAAUGUGGGCCGAGGAAUUAACUGCACAAGCAGAAGGCAAACAUCAUAUUGGCGAUUUUCUGCCACCGGACGAGCUAAAAAAAUUUAUGGAACAAUAUAAUGCUGUAAAACAAGGAAAAGAACCUGAUUUGAGUGAUUACAAGGAAUACAAGUUAAAAGAAGAUAAUAUAGAGCGACGAACAGACUCGAUAGUGCGGGUUUAGGUUCUGAAAGACCAGAUGGAGUGUCUAGGGACGAUGAUGAAUUUGAUGCAUAUAGGAAACGGAUGAUGCUCGCAUAUAGAUUUAGGCCUAAUCCACUAAAUAAUCCGAGAAGACCUUAUUAUUAAGAGAACUAGAAGACAAAAUUCUAAACACACAUAUUCUUUUUAUUACAGAACAGUGUAAAGUAGAUUGUCUUUAUUUUGUAUAUUACACAGAUUGUAUAUUUUAUUUUGAGAUAUAUCUCUUACAAAAUUUUUCUCUAACUGAAGGCAUUUCAAAAAUUGCUUUAAUGUAUACAAAUGAGAGAUAUAUUAAUAUAGAUAAAUUUAUGUGAACAAAAGUUUUAUUCUAUAGACUUUUUUUUUGUAAGAAACGGUGUGAGUACGGUGCAUCUUCUCUCAGUGUCAUUGAUUUAUCCUUUGCAAAAAUAUCGCUGUUAUUUAUAUACAAGCGUAGUUUUUGCAACCUGUUUACAUAUGCAUUAAAAGUAAUAGUGAUAUUUA
RNAcentral lists this unclassified non-coding RNA (3061 nucleotides) under Camponotus floridanus (Florida carpenter ant). Its description in RNAcentral is "arginine-glutamic acid dipeptide repeats protein, transcript variant X2". The record is from RNAcentral. Lineage: Eukaryota; Metazoa; Arthropoda; Insecta; Hymenoptera; Formicidae.